GAUGAACGCUGGCGGCGUGCCUAAUACAUGCAAGUCGAGCGAACAGACGAGGAGCUUGCUCCUCUGACGUUAGCGGCGGACGGGUGAGUAACACGUGGAUAACCUACCUAUAAGACUGGGAUAACUUCGGGAAACCGGAUCUAAUACCGGAUAAUAUAUUGAACCGCAUGGUUCAAUAGUGAAAGACGGUUUUGCUGUCACUUAUAGAUGGAUCCGCGCCGCAUUAGCUAGUUGGUAAGGUAACGGCUUACCAAGGCAACGAUGCGUAGCCGACCUGAGAGGGUGAUCGGCCACACUGGAAGUGAGACACGGACCAGACACCUACGGGAGGCAGCAGUAGGGAAUAUGACGCAAUGGGGGAAAGCCUGACGGAGCAAGGGCGCGUGAGAGAAGAAGGUCUUCGGAUCGGAAAACUCUGUUAUUAGGGAAGAACAAAUGUGUAAGUAACUAUGGACGUAGUGACGGUAACUAAUAAGAAAGCAACGGCUAACUACGUG
This 497-nucleotide ribosomal RNA is filed under the name uncultured bacterium. RNAcentral's name for it is "partial 16S ribosomal RNA". It matches the Rfam family "Bacterial small subunit ribosomal RNA", at positions 28 to 507 of the family's 1533-position model. The record is from RNAcentral.